AGGGCGAACGCUGGCGGCAGGCCUAACACAUGCAAGUCGAACGGACUCUUCGGAGUUAGUGGCGGACGGGUGAGUAACACGUGGGAACGUGCCUUUUGGUUCGGAAUAGCUCCUGGAAACGGGUGGUAAUGCCGAAUGUGCCCCCUCCUUUGAUCGGGGGGGUGGGAAAGAUUUAUCGCCAUUAGAGCGGCCCGCGUCUGAUUAGCUAGUUGGUGAGGUAAAGGCUCACCAAGGCGACGAUCAGUAGCUGGUCUGAGAGGAUGACCAGCCACAUUGGGACUGAGACACGGCCCAAACUCCUACGGGAGGCAGCAGUGGGGAAUCUUGCGCAAUGGGACGAAAGCCUGACGCAGCCAUGCCGCGUGAAUGAUGAAGGUCUUAGGAUUGUAAAAUUCUUCACCGGGACGAUAAUGACGGUACCGGAGAAGAAGCCCGGCUAACUCGUGCCAGCACGCCGAC
Molecule: ribosomal RNA, 459 nt
Filed under: uncultured soil bacterium
Lineage: Bacteria
Description: bacterial SSU rRNA
Rfam family: Bacterial small subunit ribosomal RNA
Source: RNAcentral